CUCUUCGGAGUGAGCGGCGGACGGGUUAGUAACGCGUGGGAACGUGCCCUUCUCUAAGGAAUAGCCUCGGGAAACUGAGAGUAAUACCUUAUACGCCCUUCGGGGGAAAGAUUUAUCGGAGAAGGAUCGGCCCGCGUUAGAUUAGAUAGUUGGUGGGGUAAUGGCCUACCAAGUCUACGAUCUAUAGCUGGUUUUAGAGGAUGAUCAGCAACACUGGGACUGAGACACGGCCCAGACUCCUACGGGAGGCAGCAGUGGGGAAUCUUGGACAAUGGGCGCAAGCCUGAUCCAGCCAUGCCGCGUGAGUGAUGAAGGCCUUAGGGUCGUAAAGCUCUUUCGCCAGAGAUGAUAAUGACAGUAUCUGGUAAAGAAACCCCGGCUAACUCCGUGCCAGCAGCCGCGGUAAUACGGAGGGGGUUAGCGUUGUUCGGAAUUACUGGGCGUAAAGCGCACGUAGGCGGAUCAGAAAGUAUAGGGUGAAAUCCCAGGGCUCAACCCUGGAACUGCCUUAUAAACUCCUGGUCUUGAGUUCGAGAGAGGUAAGUGGAAUUCCGAGUGUAGAGGUGAAAUUCGUAGAUAUUCGGAGGAACACCAGUGGCGAAGGCGGCUUACUGGCUCGAUACUGACGCUGAGGUGCGAAAGUGUGGGGAGCAAACAGGAUUAGAUACCCUGGUAGUCCACACCGUAAACGAUGAAUGCCAGACGUCAGCAAGCAUGCUUGUUGGUGUCACACCUAACGGAUUAAGCAUUCCGCCUGGGGAGUACGGUCGCAAGAUUAAACUCAAAGGAAU
Molecule: ribosomal RNA, 791 nt
Filed under: Phaeobacter sp. RHS-str.307
Lineage: Bacteria; Pseudomonadati; Pseudomonadota; Alphaproteobacteria; Rhodobacterales; Roseobacteraceae
Description: bacterial SSU rRNA
Rfam family: Bacterial small subunit ribosomal RNA
Source: RNAcentral